UAGUAGUUGGCUGAUAUAUCAGUAGUAAUAAUGUUCUUUUGGCUGAUAUAUUGGUUGUACCAGUAGUUAAAGCCAUGGUUUAAGGUGUCUUCUGAACACGGCCUGGCUUUCUGGUUAAAACCAUGGCUUAAGGUGACUUCUGAAUGGGGUCAUACUAUGCAGGGAUGUAAAAAGCAUUGCUUAUUAUCAUCACCAUCAUUAUCGUCUCAAGCCACAAGCUCCUUAGUUAAUUUUUCUAUCAGCUUUUAUCUUGUCCUUCCUUCAAGGAACUCAGAGUGACAUAUAGUGAAGGUGCCAGGCGAACCUCUUUAGGGAGCUCAUUCCACAGUCGGGGUGCCACAGCAAAGAAGGCCCUCCUCCUGGUAGCCACCUGCCUCACUUCCUUUGUGAGCCCACUGCUCUUACCCUCUCAACAGUCCUGUGAGGAGGAGUUUCAUCUGAAUUAUAACAGCAGCAUCCCCUCUAGCCCCCAUAGCGCAAGCCCAAGACGCUCCAAAUUCUACAAAAUAAUCAGCAUGUGCAAGAAACAGGUUCCUCUUUGUCCCUUUAUAAAAGGAAUAUAAGAAGAGCCCUGAAGCUGAAUCCGAUCAAGGUGGGCCUUGAUCAGAUCAAGUAUUCUGCUUUCCGGAGUAGUCAGACAGAUGCCUCCAGGACCCGUUGGACGAAUAAAUGCAUUCCCCUUUAAGGUGCCACAAGAUUCUUCAUCCCAUCCCCGACGUUGCUAUUGCUGCUGACUGACAAAAGAAAUAGUACUUUUGGGUUGCUUGUUUUAUUUUGGGCGUUGUUUUUGUUUGAUGCUGCUAUACAGUGCUUUGUAUAUUUUGGAGAGGGAAGCGUUUUAUAAAUAAAUGUUAAUAAGAAAUCUACACGUGUAUAAAAACC
Elgaria multicarinata webbii is the source of this 882-nucleotide long non-coding RNA. RefSeq lists it as uncharacterized. Lineage: Eukaryota; Metazoa; Chordata; Lepidosauria; Squamata; Anguidae. The record is from RefSeq and is a predicted model, not a curated record. The transcript is spliced from 4 exons.